CCUACGGGUGGCAGCAGUGAGGAAUAUUGGUCAAUGGGCGUAAGCCUGAACCAGCCAAGUCGCGUGAGGGAUGAAGGUUCUAUGGAUCGUAAACCUCUUUUAUAAGGGAAUAAAGUGUGGGACGUGUCCUAUUUUGUAUGUACCUGAUGAAUAAGGAUCGGCUAACUCCGUGCCAGCAGCCGCGGUAAUACGGAGGAUCCGAGCGUUAUCCGGAUUUAUUGGGUUUAAAGGGUGCGUAGGCGGGUUGUUAAGUCAGUUGUGAAAGUUUGCGGCUCAACCGUUAGAUUGCAGUUGAUACUGGCAGUCUUGAGUACAGUAGAGGUAGGCGGAAUGCGUGGUGUAGCGGUGAAAUGCAUAGAUAGCACGCAGAACUCCGAUUGCGAAGGCAGCAUGCUGG
RNAcentral lists this ribosomal RNA (397 nucleotides) under uncultured bacterium. RNAcentral describes it as "partial 16S ribosomal RNA". It matches the Rfam family "Bacterial small subunit ribosomal RNA", at positions 338 to 732 of the family's 1533-position model. The record is from RNAcentral.